RNAcentral lists this transfer RNA (65 nucleotides) under Dipodomys ordii (Ord's kangaroo rat). It matches the Rfam family "tRNA". Rfam says of the family: Transfer RNA (tRNA) molecules are approximately 80 nucleotides in length. Their secondary structure includes four short double-helical elements and three loops (D, anti-codon, and T loops). Further hydrogen bonds mediate the characteristic L-shaped molecular structure. tRNAs have two regions of fundamental functional importance: the anti-codon, which is responsible for specific mRNA codon recognition, and the 3' end, to which the tRNAs corresponding amino acid is attached (by aminoacyl-tRNA synthetases). tRNAs cope with the degeneracy of the genetic code in two manners: having more than one tRNA (with a specific anti-codon) for a particular amino acid; and 'wobble' base-pairing, i.e. permitting non-standard base-pairing at the 3rd anti-codon position. The record is from Rfam by way of RNAcentral. Lineage: Eukaryota; Metazoa; Chordata; Mammalia; Rodentia; Heteromyidae.
GGUGGCUCAGUGGUAGAGCACUUGCCUUGCAUGCAUGAGGUACUGUGUUCGAUUCCUCAGCACCA